AUGGAUAAAGUUGAAGUUGUGUUGUAUUCAAUGAACUCGAGAAACAAAGACAAACUCGUAGCCAAAGGGACUUUAGUGAGUAAAGAGAAAACAUAUGUGGUUGGAGGAAACAUGCUUGGAGUGCAAUACGUUGCAGUUCUUGUUCGCGGCUGUACAUAUCUAGGAGAUGAGAAACUAGUUAGACCAUAUGAAAAAUUCCAAACAGUAAGGGAUGCUAUGGGUUCUAUUAUUGCUUGGCCUCGCUCACAUGUAAGUAUGUUUUCAUUCAAGCAUUGUGUAUGCUCCAAUUUGCACAUGUGUGAUAUGUUAUUUAUCCAGAAUCUUUCUUGUUUUUAG
This 336-nucleotide ribosomal RNA is filed under the name Triticum aestivum (bread wheat). RNAcentral's name for it is "partial small subunit ribosomal RNA". The record is from RNAcentral. Lineage: Eukaryota; Viridiplantae; Streptophyta; Magnoliopsida; Poales; Poaceae.